RNAcentral lists this ribosomal RNA (776 nucleotides) under uncultured bacterium. RNAcentral's name for it is "bacterial SSU rRNA". It matches the Rfam family "Bacterial small subunit ribosomal RNA", at positions 59 to 795 of the family's 1533-position model. The record is from RNAcentral.
CAGUCGAGCGAGCUUGCCUAGAUGAUUUUAGUGCUUGCACUAAAUGAAACUAGAUACAAGCGAGCGGCGGACGGGUGAGUAACACGUGGGUAACCUGCCCAAGAGACUGGGAUAACACCUGGAAACAGAUGCUAAUACCGGAUAACAACACUAGACGCAUGUCUAGAGUUUGAAAGAUGGUUCUGCUAUCACUCUUGGAUGGACCUGCGGUGCAUUAGCUAGUUGGUAAGGUAACGGCUUACCAAGGCAAUGAUGCAUAGCCGAGUUGAGAGACUGAUCGGCCACAUUGGGACUGAGACACGGCCCAAACUCCUACGGGAGGCAGCAGUAGGGAAUCUUCCACAAUGGACGAAAGUCUGAUGGAGCAACGCCGCGUGAGUGAAGAAAGGUUUCGGCUCGUAAAGCUCUGUUGGUAGUGAAGAAAGAUAGAGGUAGUAACUGGCCUUUAUUUGACGGUAAUUACUUAGAAAGUCACGGCUAACUACGUGCCAGCAGCCGCGGUAAUACGUAGGUGGCAAGCGUUGUCCGGAUUUAUUGGGCGUAAAGCGAGUGCAGGCGGUUCAAUAAGUCUGAUGUGAAAGCCUUCGGCUCAACCGGAGAAUUGCAUCAGAAACUGUUGAACUUGAGUGCAGAAGAGGAGAGUGGAACUCCAUGUGUAGCGGUGGAAUGCGUAGAUAUAUGGAAGAACACCAGUGGCGAAGGCGGCUCUCUGGUCUGCAACUGACGCUGAGGCUCGAAAGCAUGGGUAGCGAACAGGAUUAGAUACCCUGGUAGUC